This is a long non-coding RNA of Vigna angularis (adzuki bean), 933 nucleotides long. RefSeq lists it as uncharacterized. NCBI's taxonomy places the organism in Eukaryota, Viridiplantae, Streptophyta, Magnoliopsida, Fabales, Fabaceae. The transcript is spliced from 8 exons. The record is from RefSeq and is a predicted model, not a curated record.
CUAACCUAAAACCCUAAGUUUCACGCCUCAUUCCUUCGCUUCGCUUACGCCGCUUCCUUCUGUCUUUCAUAUUUUGGUUUGGUUGGAAGCCUAAAUGCAGAAGCUCUUCUGUCACACAGUAAGAAGAGAUCCAGCAAAUGCAUGCAUCAAAAAUCAAUGGCGACUGCUGAUCAAAUAAAGAUUUUAUCUUUCACAGCAAAAACAUUACAUAAUCAUCAAAAAAUGAAUAGUUCGAUUCAACAUCAAAUGAUUUUCCAUAGAGGACAUGACAAUUAUGCAGAAAACGAUGUGAAAGUUGAUGGAAAUGAUACCAAUGUGGAUGGCUUGGUUGAACGACUUCCUAGAAGCUCCCGUCAAAGGAAGCGAAAAAAUAUUAUUGAUGAUUCUAACGAUUCAGUUAUUCUCCCUAGGAAACCAGGGAUACCUAUAAUGUGAAUAGUUUUGCUGAUCGGCUUCGUGAAAGAUCAAGUAUAAAGAAGCCAAAUUAUAUUCUUGAUGAGUUAGAAGAAGAUUUAGAUAUCUUCACAGCAAACAUGGGAACCCUACAGAAAACAUUGUCAAAAUUGAAAGAAGUGACACUAAAAGAAGAGAUCUGGGAAAUGUAUACAAGUAUGUUAUCUCAAUGGAUAAAAAAUCAAGGGAUGCUGAUGCUAAUUAAAUGAACGAUGUCAUCUUUCACAGCAAAAACAUUACACUGUCAUCAGUACUCUCGAAGAGUAAAAAAGUUAAGAAUAUGUAAAUACAUCAUCGAGACAUCAAAAAACAUGUUCAAGCUGUUCCUUUUUUAAUUGUUCGAGUGUAUUACUUUUAUGUAAUUUUUUACUAAAUUUUUCAUAUGUUUUUGUUUCAUUUUAAUAUGUUUGAAGAGAAAUGAUAUUAUUUGAGAGUACAUGCAAAAGUAACUAAAUCAUGUUAAAUGUAUUCCGAUUUUAU